UACGUAGGGGGCAAGCGUUGUCCGGAAUUAUUGGGCGUAAAGAGCGUGUAGGCGGUCCGGUAAGUCGGCUGUGAAAGUCCAGGGCUCAACCCUGGGAUGCCGGUCGAUACUGGUGUGACUCGAGUCCGGUAGGGGAGCGUGGAAUUCCUGGUGUAGCGGUGAAAUGCGUAGAUAUCCGGAGGAACACCGGUGGCGAAGGCGGCUUCCUGGACCGACACUGACGCUGAGGCGCGAAAGCUAGGGGAGCAAACGGG
RNAcentral lists this ribosomal RNA (254 nucleotides) under uncultured bacterium. Its description in RNAcentral is "partial 16S ribosomal RNA". It matches the Rfam family "Bacterial small subunit ribosomal RNA", at positions 524 to 776 of the family's 1533-position model. The record is from RNAcentral.